GUAGAAGACAGAGAGAGAGAUGGGAAGAGGUAGAGGACAGAGAGAGAGAGAUGGGAAGAGGUAGAAGACAGAGAGAGAUGGGAAGAGGUAGAGGACAGAGAGAGAGAUGGGAAGAGGUAGAGGACAGAGAGAGAGAGAUGGGAAGAGGUAGAGGACAGAGAGAGAGAUGGGAAGAGGUAGAGGACAGAGAGAGAGAUGGGAAGAGGUAGAGGACAGAGAGAGAGAUGGGAAGAGGUAGAGGACAGAGAGAGAGAUGGGAAGAGGUAGAGGACAGAGAGAGAGAUGGGAAGAGGUAGAGGACAGAGAAAGAGAGAGAGAGAGAUGGUAAGAGGUAGAGGACAGAGAAAGAGAGAGAGAGAGAUGGGAAGAGGUAGAGGACAGAGAAAGAGAGAGAGAGAUGGUAAGAGGUAGAGGACAGAGAAAGAGAGAGAGAGAGAGAGAUGGUAAGAGGUAAAGGACAGAGAAAGAGAAAAAGAGAGAGAGAUGGUAGAGGACAGAGAGAAAGAGAGAGAUGGUAAGAGGUAGAGGACAGAGAGAAAGAGAGAGAGGGAUGGGAAGAGGUAGAGGACAGAGAGAGAGAUGGGAAGAGGUAGAGGACAGAGAGAGAGAUGGGAAGAGGUAGAGGACAGAGAGAGAGAUGGGAAGAGGUAGAGGACAGAGAGAGAGAUGGGAAGAGGUAGAGGACAGAGAGAGAGAGAGAGAGAUGGGAAGAGGUAGAGGACAUACAGAGCCUUCAGAAUGUAUUCAUACUCUCCCCACGUCUUGUUGUGUUACAGCCUGAAUUAAGAAUGUAUUAAAUUGAUUAUUUUCUUUCCCCCAUGUCGAUACAAUACCCCAUAAAGACAAAGUGAAAACAUGUUCUUCGACACAUUUAUUGAAGGUGAAAUAUAGAAAUAUUUCCUUUACUUAAGUAUUCACGCCACUGAGUCAAUACUUUGUAGAAACACCUUUGCCAGAGAUUACAGCUGUGAGUCUUUCAGGGUAAGUCUCGAAGAGCGUUCCACACCUGGAUUGCUCAACAUUUGCACACUAUUCUUUUCAAAAUUCUUCAAGGUCUGUCAAAUUGGUUGUUGAUCAUUGCUAGACAACCAUUUUCAGGUCUUGCCAUACAUUUCCAAGUAGAUUUAAGUCAAAACUAUAACUCUGCCACUCAGGAACAUUCAUUGAUUUCUUGGUAAGCAACUUCAGUAUAGAUUUGGCCUUGUGUUUUAGGUUAUUGUCUAACUGAAAGGUGAAAGCAGACUGAACCAGGUUUUCCUCGAGGGUUUUUGCCUGUGCUUAGCUCCAUUCAGUUGAUGUUUUAUUGUGAAAAACUCCUCAGUCCUUAACUUCUUUGGGAUAGGGGUAUUUUGACGUCUGAAUGAAAAGCGUGCCCAAAGUAAACUGCCUACUACUCAGGCCCAUAAGCUAGGAUAUGCAUAUAAUUGGUAGAUGUGGAUAGAAAACACUAACGUUUCUAAAACUGUUAAAAUAAUGACUGUGAGUAUAACAUAACUGAAAUGGCAGGUGAAACCCAGAGGACAAACCAUCCCAAAAACUGGUUUAUGGGAAAUUGUAGUUUUUCUAGGUGGCUCCCAUUUUGUCUGUAGUGUUUCCAAGCGCGUGAAUGCGAGCGCGUUCUUUGGUAUUUUUCUCUGGUAAGGACAAUAACAUCUUAAAUUUGAUCAUUUAUUUGGGUCUGAUUCUAAACGUUAAUUGACUUGUUUGGAAAAGUUUAUUGGUAACGCUCAAGGUUAUAAACGUCAUCAUAACUGCCAUCGAUAAGAGACAUUACUGUGCAGCCGUAUUCAUCGACCUGGCCAAGGCUUUCGACUCUGUCUAUCACAACGUUCUUAUUGGCAGACUCGACAGCCUUCGUUUCUCAAAUGAUUGCCUCGCCUGGUUUACCAACUACUUCUCUGAAAGAGUUCAGUGUGUCAAAUCGGAGGGCCUGUUGUCCGGACCUCUGACAGUCUCUAUGGGUGUGCCACAGGGUUCAAUUCUCGGGCCGACUCACUUUUCUGUAUACAUCAAUGAUGUUGCUCUUGCUGCUGGUGAUUCUCUGAUCCACCUCUACGCAGACGACACCAUUCUGUAUACUUCUGGCCCCUCCUUGGACACUGUGUUAACUAACCUCCAGACGAGCUUCAAUGCCAUGCAACUCUCCUUCCGUGGCCUCCAACUGCUCUUAAACGCAAGUAAAACUAAAUGCAUGCUAUUCAAUCAAUCACUGCCCACACCUGCUCGCCCGUGCAGCAUCUCUACUCUGGACGGCUCUGACUUAGAAUACGUGGACAACUACAAAUACCUGGGUGUCUGGUUAGACUGUAAACUCUCCUUCCAGACUCACAUUAAGCAUCUCCAAUCCAAAAUUAAAUCUAGAAUCGGCUUCCUAUAUCACAACAAAGCAUCCUUCACUCAUGCUGCCAAACAUACCCUCGUAAAACUGACCAUCCUACCGAUCCUCGACUUUGGCGAUGUCAUCUAUAAAAUAGCCUCCAACACUCUACUCAACAAACUGGAUGCAGUAUAGCACAGUGCAAUCUGUUUUGUCACCAAAGCCCCAUACAUUACCCACCAUUACGACUUGUACGCUCUCGUUGGUUGGCCCUCGCUUCAUACUCGUCGCCAAACCCACUGGCUACAGGUUAUCUACAAGUCUCUGCUAGGUAAAGCCCCGCCUUAUCUCAGCUCACUGGUCACCAUAGCAGCACCCACUCGUAGCAUGCGCUCCAGCAGGUGUAUCUCACUGAUCACCCCCAAAGCCAAUUCCUCCUUUGGUCAUCUUUCCUUCCAGUUCUCUGCAGCACAUGACUGGAACAAAUUGCAAAAAUCUCUGAAGCUGGAGACUCACAUCUCCCUCACUAGCUUUAAGCACCAGCUGUCAGAGCAGCUUACAGAUCACUGCACCUGUACAUAGAUUGGCUGUUUACAGAUGGGUAGCGUCCCACUGAUCAGCAAGAAGUUAACAAUACCCAUAACAUGAUGCAGCCACCACCAUGCUUGAAAAUAUGAAGAGUGGUACUCAGUGAUGUAUUGUAUUGUAUUUUCCCCAAACAUAACACUUUGUAUUGAGGACAAGAAGUUAAUUGCUUUGCUACAUUUUUUACAGUAUUACUUUAAAGCCUUGUGGCAAACAGGAUGCAUGUUUUGUAAUAUUUUAUUAUGUACAGGCUUCCUUCUUUUCACUCUAAUUUAGGUUAGUAUUGUGGAGUAUCUACAAUGUUGUUGAUCCAUCCUCAGUUCUCUCCUAUCACAGCCAUUAAACUCUAACUGUUUUAAAGUCACCAUUGGCCUCAUGGUUACAUUUCUGUAGUGACUGGGUGUACUGAUACGCCAUCCAUUUACCAAUAGGUGUCCUUCUUUGCGAGGCAUUGGAAAGCCUUCCUGGUCUUUGUGGUUGAAUCUGCUCAACAGAGGGACCUUACAGAUCAUUUUAUGUGAGAGGUUCAGAGAUGAGGUUGUCAUUCAAAAAAUCAUGUUAAACACUAUUAUUUUUUAUUUUUAUUUUUAUUUAUUUUUUAUUUUAAAACAUAAAAACAUGUUAUUGCACAUAGAGUCCAUGCAACUUAUGUGACUAGUUAAGCAAAUGUUUACUCCUGAACUUAUUUAGGCUUGCAAUAACAAAGGGUUUGAAUACUUAUUGACUCAAGACAUUUCAUUUUUGAUUAAUUAAUACAUUUUUCAAAAAACAUGUCCAUUUUGACAUUAUGGGGUAUUGUAUGACAACACAAUCUACAUUUAAUACAUUUUAAAUUCAGGCUGUAACAACAAAAUGUGGAAAAAGUGAAGGUGUAUGAA
Long non-coding RNA from Oncorhynchus keta (chum salmon), 3780 nucleotides. RefSeq lists it as uncharacterized. The record is from RefSeq and is a predicted model, not a curated record. NCBI's taxonomy places the organism in Eukaryota, Metazoa, Chordata, Actinopteri, Salmoniformes, Salmonidae. The transcript has 4 exons.